AGUGGCGAACGGGUGAGUAAUACAUCGAGAACGUGCCCAGUCGUGGGGGAUAACUACUCGAAAGAGUAGCUAAUACCGCAUACGAUCUGAGGAUGAAAGCGGGGGACCUUCGGGCCUCGCGCGAUUGGAGCGGCCGAUGGCAGAUUAUGUAUUGGUGGGAUAAAAGCUUACCAAGCCGACGAUCUGUAGCUGGUCUGAAGGACGACCAGCCACACUGGGACUGAGACACGGCCCAGACUCCUACGGAGGCAGCAGUGGGGAAUUUUGGACAAUGGGCGAAAGCCUGAUCCAGCAAUGCCGCGUGCAGAUGAAGGCCUUCGGGUUGUAAACUGCUUUUGUACGAACGAAAAAGCUUCCCCAAAUACGAGAGGCCCAUGACGGUACCGUAAGAAUAAGCACCGGCUAACUACGUGCCAGCAGCCGCGGUAAUACGUAGGGUGCGAGCGUUAAUCGGAAUUACUGGCGUAAAGCGUGCGCAGGCGGUUAUGUAAGGCAGAUGUGAAAUCCCCGGGCUCAACCUGGGAACUGCAUUUGUGACUGCAUGGCUAGAGUACGGUAGAGGGGGAUGGAAUUCCGCGUGUAGCAUGAAAUGCGUAGAUAUGCGGAGGACACCGAUGGCGAAGGCAAUCCCCUGGACCUGUACUGACGCUCAUGCACGAAAGCGUGGGGAGCAAACAGGAUUAGAUACCCUGGUAGUCCACGCCCUAAACGAUGUCAACUGGUUGUUGGGAAUUAGUUUUCUCAGUAACGAAGCUAACGCGUGAAGUUGACCGCCUGGGGAGUACGGCCGCA
RNAcentral lists this ribosomal RNA (792 nucleotides) under uncultured Delftia sp. RNAcentral's name for it is "bacterial SSU rRNA". It matches the Rfam family "Bacterial small subunit ribosomal RNA", at positions 94 to 890 of the family's 1533-position model. The record is from RNAcentral. Lineage: Bacteria; Pseudomonadati; Pseudomonadota; Betaproteobacteria; Burkholderiales; Comamonadaceae.